Molecule: long non-coding RNA, 527 nt
Organism: Gordionus sp. m RMFG-2023
Lineage: Eukaryota; Metazoa; Nematomorpha; Gordioida; Chordodea; Parachordodidae
Exons: 3
Source: RefSeq, a predicted model, not a curated record
AUAAAAGAUGGCAUUAAAUUUUCUGUUCCUUUAAACCAUUUGAAACUAAAAAAAAAGAAGAAUAAUUAAUUACUUACUAAAAUAUGUAAAUUCAGUUCGCGAUUCGCACGACCUACCCUUCAUGAGCUAUGACGCUGGAUAUUCACUAAAACCAAGGAUCCCCCAAAAAGAUUCUAUCUGCGACAAGGAGUGACAAUUGACACAAUCAAAUCUAAUUAGAUUAGCUUCAUCUAUUCCAUUGAAGGGUAGGGCCUUAUUCUUCACCUGUGAGAAUAUCCAAUAGAAAUAAGGGAAUGUCAUUGUAUCUAUUUUGACUAGCCGCUUGGUAUCUGUAGCCCUGCCCAGUAGCCAUUUAUAAGGGAAAACACAUAAACUACAAAGUUUGAGAAAAUUUUUGGAAACAUGCCAAUUCUGUCGGAUGCACACAAAGCUGCAGAGAGAUAAACAUCAGCUCGUCUCAAUUAAAUGCGAACAAGCUUCAAAAAAUAACCCAAGCCAUGGUGAAAGCACUUAUUAAUUCUUACCUA